GCCUGAGUGGCUUAGUGGGUUAAAGCCUCUGCUUUCAGCUCAGAUCAUCGUCUCAGAGUCCUGGGAUCGAGCCCCGCAUCAGGCU
This 85-nucleotide transfer RNA is filed under the name Mustela putorius furo (domestic ferret). It matches the Rfam family "tRNA". From Rfam's summary of the family: Transfer RNA (tRNA) molecules are approximately 80 nucleotides in length. Their secondary structure includes four short double-helical elements and three loops (D, anti-codon, and T loops). Lineage: Eukaryota; Metazoa; Chordata; Mammalia; Carnivora; Mustelidae. The record is from Rfam by way of RNAcentral.